Molecule: ribosomal RNA, 343 nt
Filed under: uncultured bacterium
Lineage: Bacteria
Description: bacterial SSU rRNA
Rfam family: Bacterial small subunit ribosomal RNA
Source: RNAcentral
AGGGUUUGAUCAUGGCUCAGGAUGAACGCUGGCGGCGUGCUUAACACAUGCAAGUCGAACGGAACUCUCUGGAAAGAGGCUUCGGCCAAUUGAAUUUGAGUUUAGUGGCGGACGGGUGAGUAACGCGUGAGUAACCUGCCUUGGAGUGGGGAAUAACAGUUGGAAACGACUGCUAAUACCGCAUAAUGCAUCGGAGUCGCAUGGCUCUGAUGCCAAAGAUUUAUCGCUCUUAGAUGGACUCGCGUCUGAUUAGCUAGUUGGUGAGGUAACGGCCCACCAAGGCGACGAUCAGUAGCCGGACUGAGAGGUUGGCCGGCCACAUUGGGACUGAGACACGGCCCAG